RNAcentral lists this ribosomal RNA (496 nucleotides) under uncultured bacterium. Its description in RNAcentral is "partial 16S ribosomal RNA". It matches the Rfam family "Bacterial small subunit ribosomal RNA", at positions 28 to 507 of the family's 1533-position model. The record is from RNAcentral.
GACGAACGCUGGCGGCGUGCCUAAUACAUGCAAGUAGAACGCUGAAGCUUGGUGCUUGCACCGAGCGGAUGAGUUGCGAACGGGUGAGUAACGCGUAGGUAACCUGCCUGGUAGCGGGGGAUAACUAUUGGAAACGAUAGCUAAUACCGCAUAAUAGUAGAUGUUGCAUGACAUUUGCUUAAAAGGUGCAAUUGCAUCACUACCAGAUGGACCUGCGUUGUAUUGCUAGUUGGUGAGGUAACGGCUCACCAAGGCAACGAUACAUAGCCGACCUGAGAGGGUGAUCGGCCACACUGGGACUGAGACACGGCCCAGACUCCUACGGGAGGCAGCAGUAGGGAAUCUUCGGCAAUAGACGGAAGUCUGACCGAGCAACGCCGCGUGAGUGAAGAAGGUUUUCGGAUCGUAAAGCUCUGUUGUAAGAGAAGAACGAGUGUGAGAGUGGAAAGUUCACACUGUGACGGUAUCUUACCAGAAAGGGACGGCUAACUACGUG